GUGAAGUCAUUGAUGCCAUGCUUCCAGGAAAAGCCUCUAAGCUUCAGAUUGUAAGGAAUCGUACCCCAAACCGACACAGGUGGUCGGGUAGAGAAUACCAAGGCGCUUGAGAGAACUCGGGUGAAGGAACUAGGCAAAAUGGUACCGUAACUUCGGGAGAAGGUACGCUCUCGACGGUGAAGUCCCUCGCGGAUGGAGCUAUUGAGAGUCGCAGAUACCAGGUGGCUGCAACUGUUUAUUAAAAACACAGCACUGUGCAAAAUCGUAAGAUGACGUAUACGGUGUGACGCCUGCCCGGUGCCGGAAGGUUAAUUGAUGGGGUUAGACUUCGGUCGAAGCUCUUGAUCGAAGCCCCGGUAAACGGCGGCCGUAACUAUAACGGUCCUAAGGUAGCGAAAUUCCUUGUCGGGUAAGUUCCGACCUGCACGAAUGGCGUAAUGAUGGCCACGCUGUCUCCACCCGAGACUCAGUGAAAUUGAAAUCGCUGUGAAGAUGCAGUGUACCCGCGGCUAGACGGAAAGACCCCGUGAACCUUUACUACAGCUUGGCACUGAACAUUGACCCUACAUGUGUAGGAUAGGUGGGAGGCUUUGAAGCACGUACGCCAGUAUGUGUGGAGCCGUCCUUGAAAUACCACCCUUGUAGUGUUGAUGUUCUAACGUCGACCCCUUAUCGGGGUUGCGGACAGUGCCUGGUGGGUAGUUUGACUGGGGCGGUCUCCUCCCAAAGAGUAACGGAGGAGCACGAAGGUGGGCUAAUCACGGUUGGACAUCGUGAGGUUAGUGCAAUGGCAUAAGCCCGCUUGACUGCGAGAAUGACAAUUCGAGCAGGUGCGAAAGCAGGUCAUAGUGAUCCGGUGGUUCUGAAUGGAAGGGCCAUCGCUCAACGGAUAAAAGGUACUCCGGGGAUAACAGGCUGAUACCGCCCAAGAGUUCAUAUCGACGGCGGUGUUUGGCACCUCGAUGUCGGCUCAUCACAUCCUGGGGCUGAAGUCGGUCCCAAGGGUAUGGCUGUUCGCCAUUUAAAGUGGUACGCGAGCUGGGUUUAGAACGUCGUGAGACAGUUCGGUCCCUAUCUGCCGUGGGCGUUGGAAGAUUGAAGGGGGCUGCUCCUAGUACGAGAGGACCGGAGUGGACGAACCUCUGGUGUUCGGGUUGUGUCGCCAGACGCAUUGCCCGGUAGCUAAGUUCGGAAUCGAUAACCGCUGAAAGCAUCUAAGCGGGAAGCGAGCCCUGAGAUGAGUCUUCCCUGAUACUUUAAGUAUCCUAAAGGGUUGUCGGAGACUACGACGUUGAUAGGUCAGGUGUGUAAGUGCUGUGAGGCAUUGAGCUAACUGAUACUAAUUGCCCGUGAGGCUUAACCAUACAACACCCAAGGGGUUU
Molecule: ribosomal RNA, 1382 nt
Filed under: Vibrio parahaemolyticus
Lineage: Bacteria; Pseudomonadati; Pseudomonadota; Gammaproteobacteria; Vibrionales; Vibrionaceae
Also listed under: 3 other names
Description: bacterial LSU rRNA
Rfam family: Bacterial large subunit ribosomal RNA
Source: RNAcentral